RNAcentral lists this ribosomal RNA (449 nucleotides) under uncultured bacterium. Its description in RNAcentral is "bacterial SSU rRNA". It matches the Rfam family "Bacterial small subunit ribosomal RNA", at positions 28 to 507 of the family's 1533-position model. The record is from RNAcentral.
GAUGAACGCUAGCGGUGCGCCUAACACAUGCAAGUCGAGCGAUAUAGCGGCGAACGGGUGAGUAACACGUUGGAACCUGCCUCGGACUCAGGGAUAACAUCGAGAAAUCGGUGCUAAUACCGGAUAGUCCCGCAAGGGUAAAGCUUUUGCGGUCCGAGAGGGGCCUGCGCAGUAUCAGCUUGUUGGUAGUGUAAUAGACUACCAAGGCUACGACGCUUAACUGGUCUGAGAGGAUGAUCAGUCACAAUGGAACUGAGACACGGUCCAUACUCCUACGGGAGGCAGCAGUGAGGAAUCUUCCGCAAUGGGCGAAAGCCUGAUGCAGCAACGCCGCGUGAGGGAUGAAGGCCCUCGGGUCGUAAACCUCUGUCGGGAGGGAAGAAAGUAUUUCGGGUUAAUACCCCGGAGUACUGACGGUACCUUCAAAGGAAGCGCCGGCUAACUCCGUG